CAGUCGCCGCGGUAAUACGUAGGUGGCAAGCGUUGUCCGGAAUUAUUGGGCGUAUAGCGCGCGCAGGCGGCCUAUCCAGUCUGUCUUAAAAGUUCGGGGCUCAACCCCGUGAUGGGAUGGAAACUAGUAGGCUAGAGUAUCGGAGAGGAAAGCGGAAUUCCUAGUGUAGCGGUGAAAUGCGUAGAUAUUAGGAAGAACACCGGUGGCGAAGGCGGCUUUCUGGACGAAAACUGACGCUGAGGCGCGAAAGCCAGGGGAGCGAACGGGAUUAGAUACCCCUGUAGUCCCUGUCUCUUAUACA
Molecule: ribosomal RNA, 301 nt
Filed under: uncultured bacterium
Lineage: Bacteria
Description: partial 16S ribosomal RNA
Rfam family: Bacterial small subunit ribosomal RNA
Source: RNAcentral